CCUACGGGUGGCAGCAGUGGGGAAUAUUGCACAAUGGGGGAAACCCUGAUGCAGCGACGCCGCGUGAGGGAAGAAGUAAUUCGUUGUGUAAAGCUCUAUCAGCAGGGGAGAAACUGCCGGUACCUGAGUAAGUAGCCCCGGCUAACUACGUGCCCGCCGCGGCGGUAAUGCGGAGGGGGCAACCGUUAUCCGGAUUUACUGGGGGUAAAGGGGGCGUAGACGGCAGGGAAAGGCUGGAGUGAAAGGCUCGGGGUUAACCCCCGGACAGCACUGGAAACUGGACGGCUGGAGUGCAUGACAGGCAAGGGGAAUUCCUGGUGUAGCGGUGAAAUGCGUAGAUAUCAGGAGGAACACCAGUUGCGAAGGUGGCUUGCUGGAGUGCAACUGACGCUGAGGCUCGAAAGCGUGGGGAGCAAACAGGAUUAGAUACCCCAGUAGUC
RNAcentral lists this ribosomal RNA (440 nucleotides) under uncultured bacterium. RNAcentral describes it as "partial 16S ribosomal RNA". It matches the Rfam family "Bacterial small subunit ribosomal RNA", at positions 338 to 795 of the family's 1533-position model. The record is from RNAcentral.